CGCGUAGGUGGUUUGUUAAGUUGGAUGUGAAAGCCCCGGGCUCAACCUGGGAACUGCAUCCAAAACUGGCAAGCUAGAGUACGGUAGAGGGUGGUGGAAUUUCCUGUGUAGCGGUGAAAUGCGUAGAUAUAGGAAGGAACACCAGUGGCGAAGGCGACCACCUGGACUGAUACUGACACUGAGGUGCGAAAGCGUGGGGAGGCAAAAUA
This 209-nucleotide ribosomal RNA is filed under the name uncultured bacterium. RNAcentral's name for it is "partial 16S ribosomal RNA". It matches the Rfam family "Bacterial small subunit ribosomal RNA", at positions 568 to 776 of the family's 1533-position model. The record is from RNAcentral.